GUGGGAGAGAAUGAGUGAAUGGCCUCUUUUCUUUUACCUUUUUCUUUUUUUGUUUUAUUCAGCAUGUGGUGAGGAAUGAGAGUGGAAGAGUGGAAUGUGAGUGGGCACGUGGAAGAGAGACGUUGGAGUGGAUCUUCUUUGGACCUUUUAGAAUCCAAUGUAAAAAAUAUAUAUUUUCCAUAAUUAUUAUUCAUUUAAAUAACAAAUAAAAAAACUAACUAAUAUUUAAUUUAACCGCAUUCUAAUUAUUUUAAUUAAAUAUCUAACCAAAAAUAUUGACCCAUUAAAAAUAGAAAUCGAGUACAAAUUUGUUCGAAAAAAAUGAACCGGUCACACUAAAAUUGUCAGGACAAAAAAUACUUAUUAAAAAAUGCAGCCUUUC
This 382-nucleotide long non-coding RNA is filed under the name Lathyrus oleraceus (garden pea). RNAcentral describes it as "Pisum sativum (pea) long non-coding RNA (PSAT_LNC033125)". Lineage: Eukaryota; Viridiplantae; Streptophyta; Magnoliopsida; Fabales; Fabaceae. The record is from RNAcentral.